AUGGUCCAUUCCCAUCCUGUGGCUCCACGUGAAUCCACAACAGCUAUGGCCAAAGAGUGGCAGGUGCUAUGUACCCACCACAGCCCCUGGCAUCCUUCCCAGAGGGCAACUUUACCCUCUACCACACUGAGGAGCUGUGGGACAAAACCCAGGGGCGCCCUUAGUGUGUGCCCCACAGAGGCAGCUGAGGGGCGGGGGGGCUGGCCCACACCACGGGCCAGCAGCCACCCUUUCGAGCUGAGCUGGGCUGGAAACAUUCGGCUCAGCCUCAGCUGUCAGCUCCCUGUCCCCAGCCUGGGGAAUGAGCCGCUGGCGGCACCACAUGAUUCAUCACCAGGCUGCCUGCACCCCAGGCCAGCCGCCCCCGCCCUGCUCAGCACCUGCGGACUGCCAGGAAACACAUGUGACCCCUUUGGGUCAGGCCCAGCACUGAGACCCCAGGCCAGGCUGAUGGAGGGCGGACAGACGCAAGGGCCAUGCUUUCCUGGGGGGCUAUCCAGGCUCCUAGGAAAAGGGUAUAGGAUGAGGUUGGUAGGUCCACAUCUAUCCCUCCAUUUUAUCCCAUCUCCUUCCCCCACUCCCCCCACUGCACCGGACGGCGGACACAGUGUCGGCUGGGACUUUUCCGCUCUCGAUGAGCCCCCUCCCCUCCCCCUCCCCAAAGUGGCUGCAGCUGUCAGGACCGCAGAUUGGAACUGCAGGUACGGGGCUGGCCCGCUGCCCACCUCCCUCCCGUGUCUGUCUGCGAGAGAGGAAGCCAGCCCACCUCUGGAAUCCUUCACUCUCUCCUCGUUCUGCCUCUCCCACCUGUCCCCGGGGAGCAUGGGGUCAGCCGCCUCGCUCAGUCUCUCUCUUCCCCAGCCCCUCUCCGAUUACAAUGUGGGUAGUGUUCGCUGUUGCUCGGCUCCCCCUGCACCAGCCACCCUCUUGUCUCCGAGCUCACGGCCUUCCUGUGCUGCCACCUCCCCCUCGUGGGGUGUCUUAUCUCUGAGUGCUGAGCACUAG
RNAcentral lists this long non-coding RNA (1005 nucleotides) under Mus spicilegus (steppe mouse). Its description in RNAcentral is "lncRNA (ENSMSIG00000024066.1)". Lineage: Eukaryota; Metazoa; Chordata; Mammalia; Rodentia; Muridae. The record is from RNAcentral.